GAAUCGGAGAAACUCCCCGUAGACUGAGGACCGCUUCUUCGCUUGUUCGCUGGACAGGAAGCGAAAAUGUCGGAACGGAAAGUUUUAAACGUAAGUGCUCAGAGUCUAAAUGUUCCUACAGAGGGUGAAGUGUGCGAGGGCUCCGGGCGAGGCGUGCUUCCUUCCGGUCAUUUCCUUUUGCAAGCCCCUCUCGCGCACACGCACGCACACGCACGCGCGUCUUCCAGUCGGGCGGGAGCUUUCCAAACUCUUGCCAAUCACAUUUUUGGGGGCGGUCGUUAGCUUCCCCCUCUCCCCGCCCCCCCCCCCCCAGCUUCGUGAGUAACCAAUCAUCACCAGGGAAGCGGAGCUUCUGUCACUUUACCCAAUUGGGGGCAGGACUGCUUCUUUGUGGGUUUUCCCCAGAUCAGAUCAGGGGAUGUUGUUGGUCACCUCAGUUCUUCCCGGCUUUUGUUGAAUUAAUAUCCGAAACCUUUUGCAGAGAUGUCUACAUCAUGUUGGGGUUUCUGGGGUGACUCAGUCUCCACUCUUGGAAAAUUUUGCUCUCCAUUUCCUGGAUCUGUUUUUUAAAUGUUUGCUUUGGGUUAAGGUUUCACUGUACACAGAAGGCCCAGAAUGGCCUCGAACUCACAGACCAAAAGUUUGUACACCUAAGAUGGGCUAUAUUCACUUUUUAAAGGAUUAGUUUUAUUUUCACUUUAUGUUUUUCCUUCAUGUCUGUCUGUGCAGCACGUUUGUGUGCACUGCCCAGGCUGACUGUAAACUCACAGUUCUGCAUCAGCCUCCUGAGUGCUGGUAUGACAGUUGUACACCAUCAUUCCCGUCUACCGCCUGAAUUAGCAAAGCUUCCUCUCUCGUGAGCCUGGUUGCCAGUAGGUGUCAAAAGCAGAGCCUCCUUGUUGGUGGUCCACAUAGCUUCUUUUUGGGGGAGAGGGGAGUUGUCUCUCUUCAGCCCCCUGUCUCAAAUUCCCGGGUGCUGGGUUUGGACAUUGGCAUGCCAGUAACCCAGAGUGGUUGUCCCUGUGCGCCUCACCCCAGCCUCCCAAGCACACAGAGAGGCCAGAGCCUGUUCUCCCCAAGGAGAUUCACUGGCCAGAUUUUGCCCUGGGAUGGUGCCCUGCAGCCUGUGUGGUACCCUAGUGCAGGUUAGGCCACCAUUGACAAGGUCUGAUUUAUGUCGGGCCUCCAUUUCCUCAUGAGUGUCUAGAAUCUUAUCAUGUGAUAGGCAGCAGGGGUCCACCCUUACUGCAAACCCUGGGCCUCUAGAACCUUCCCUAGAAGGCAUGUCACAGCGUAGGAAAGUGACCCACCACACUAUAUAAUUUGUGUUGGAAGCUUGUGCACUCCUCCCUGUCCCAACUUCUCUUCUCAUGACUGUGCUUCAAACAGCUCAUGUCUGGAAAGGCUCCAGCAAGCUGAAUCCUGAGCAGAUAGAUCCCUUAAACCAGAGUAUCCUGCGUCUGCUAACAUGGCUCUCAGACCCCAUUCCUGCCCGUAUGGGACCUGAGCACCAGAAAACAGCAACGCCCUCUUCUCCACAGAAAUACUACCCACCUGACUUUGACCCAUCGAAGAUCCCGAAACUCAAGCUACCCAAGGACCGGCAGUAUGUGGUGCGUCUGAUGGCCCCCUUCAACAUGAGGUGAAUCCCUGGGGACAUGAGGCUGGAGGCUGAUUCUCUGGAGAAACAACAAACAAAGAUAAUAGUUCCCACCCUCACAGAGUCCCCAACCCCUAUCUCAGUAGAAAAUCAGAGUGACACUUGGCCCUGCAGGAUUUUGGACCCUCUAGUGGCAGCCCUCCUCCUGCCCAGGGCCUUUGCACCACCUAUGGCAUCUGCCUGCAGAUCUCUUGUAGCCAGCUUCUCUGACAGAGCCUGUCUCCCAUCUCAUCCCAGGCAGGCUGCCAGCCUCCUCUUAGACCUUCACCCCCACUUUCCUGGGUUCAACCAGCUUUGAACCAGACAGUUAUUCACACUUGACUGUGUGUGAGAAUCACAAUCCUGUAAGUCACACCUGUACAGUCACUGAGGAUGGAGAAGCUGUCCGUGUGACUAAUUGAUUAUAUCUUGUCUUCAUUUCUUUGUUUGCUCCUGUCUUAGACACUGUGAACAUGGGAGCUCUUAGAAGAGAAAGCAUCUAAUUGGAGUUUGCUUACAGUUUCAGAGGGUUAGUCCAUUGUCACCAUGGUGGGGAACAUGGCAGUCAUGGUGCUUGAGAAGUAGUUGGAGACUACAUCCUGAUCUGCAGGCAGAAAGAGAGAAACACCAGAUGUGCUGUGGGUUUCUGAAACCUCAUAACUCACCCCUAGUGACACUUCUCCAGCAAGGCCACACCUCCUAAUCAUCUUCCUCCUCCCGACCCCCCAAGACUCCUCGGUGACUAAGCAUUCAAAUCUAUGACUCUUAGGGACCAUUCUCAUCCACACCACCGCACUCCUCUGCAGGCAGUUGUCAGGCACGUAUCAUUGAUGGGGCGAGGGGAGCCUCCUGACCCUCAGAGGCUGGUGGGGAGUGGGAGUCAUACCCAUCCUCUGUAGUAACACAAGGACACAUGAGGCAGGCAGGGCAGGUGGUCUGCCAGCCGGACAGUCAGGGAAGUGUUAGAAUCUCAGGCUGCCAGGACAGCAGAGAAAAGGCCCUGAGGUAGGACUAAGCCAGAGGUGUUUGUAGGUACAGCAGUAAACCAGGACAGGAAGUGGGGGGAGCAGCCAGGGUCAGGAUUCUGCUGUCCCCUUGGCAGUUCUCAGAAGCUCCAUACACCCAGUCCCUCCUACCUAUAAGGUACAUAUGCUGCCACUGGGUGCUAGAGCAGAGGACAGACACUCACGCGCCUGCCCCGGCUGCAGGUGUAAGACGUGUGGAGAAUACAUCUACAAGGGGAAGAAGUUCAAUGCACGAAAGGAAACAGUCCAGAACGAGGCUUACCUGGGCCUGCCAAUCUUCCGAUUCUACAUCAAGUGCACGCGCUGCUUGGCCGAGAUCACCUUCAAGGUAGGGGCUUCAUUCAUUCGCUUUCCCUCUGUGAACACUCCACAAAAGGGCAGAGUGUUGGGAAGGUGCUUGCAGCAGAACCACACACAGAAAAGCCUGCCCACCUGCAUGUGUGCAAGGUAUGGGAUAUGUUGCGGGGUCAGGAAAAAAUCAUGUUGUUCUGGGCCUUGCUUGUUGCUUUGCUUCGACAGUGUCCUGUAGCACAGGCUGGACUCAAACUCCGAUGUACUCGGGUGACUGUGAUCCUGAUCCUCCGGCCUCCACCUCUGGGCUGCUAGGACGGCAGCCUUAUGCCACCACAUCUGGAUAAAAGUCAUGAUUUUCUUCUGUUCUUUCGUGUUUCUUGGGAUGGAGGUCAGAGCUUCACAUUCUCUAGGCAAAUGUUCUUCCUGAGCCACUGCGCAAGCACAAAAGCCUGAGGACUUGGGGAAAGCUAGGAGAGGAAAAGCACUCUUCCUGUCGGCACCACUGGAGGCUGUGGGGUUUUGGGUUGGUUUAGAUUGGGUUGGGUUUUUUUGGUUGGUUGGUUUAUUUGGUUGUUAUUUUUUCACUAUAAGCUUUAACC
This 3557-nucleotide long non-coding RNA is filed under the name Mus musculus (house mouse). Its description in RNAcentral is "long non-coding RNA chr17:55959171-55962728". Lineage: Eukaryota; Metazoa; Chordata; Mammalia; Rodentia; Muridae. The record is from RNAcentral.